UGCCACACUUCUGAGCUCA
RNAcentral lists this small nuclear RNA (19 nucleotides) under Arabidopsis thaliana (thale cress). RNAcentral's name for it is "snRNA_13724". Lineage: Eukaryota; Viridiplantae; Streptophyta; Magnoliopsida; Brassicales; Brassicaceae. The record is from RNAcentral.